RNAcentral lists this ribosomal RNA (333 nucleotides) under uncultured fungus. RNAcentral's name for it is "eukaryotic LSU rRNA". The stretch from base 1 to 52 matches the Rfam family "5.8S ribosomal RNA", at positions 103 to 154 of the family's 154-position model. Lineage: Eukaryota; Fungi. The record is from RNAcentral.
AACGCACCUUGCGCCCUUUGGUAUUCCGAAGGGCAUGCCUGUUUGAGUGUCAUUUAAUUCUCAACCUCUUAGGGGCUUGCCCCUGAGAGGAUUGGACUUGGAGCAGUGCUGGCCCCUUAGUGGUUGGCUCCUCUUAAACUCAUUAGCGGUCUCCCUCGUUAGAUCUGACUGUUGACGUGAUAAUUAUCUGCGUCGUGGUUGGUGAAGGCCGAGUCUCCAAGGACUUGGGUUUAGAGGUUGAGGCUGCUUAUCAACCGUCCUUCACAGGACAGAGGUUUACCUCUCUUUUGACAAUUUGACCUCAAAUCAGGUAGGACUACCCGCUGAACUUAA